UGACCCACUUCUCCUUCAUCAGGAAGUUUUAUUGGAGGAUCAACCAUUAUAUGUCCCUCUCCUACCAUGUGAGCUUCACCAAAGACGGCUGCCAACCGCUCUCACACCCUCUUUGGGUAUUCCAACGUCAGUAUUCAACCCGACUUCAUUAUAUUCUUUGGAACAUCGGUUUUAGGAUUUCAAGUGAAAUUUCUCUUCUGGUCUCUUCUUUCUUUACAACAUUUAUCUUUCGUUAUGCUUUAAUCAUUUUCAUGUAUCUCCUAAUCGUCGAACAUACUUCGAAUUGUAUUCAUUUAAUCUCUUUCGGCCUUUAAUUUUAAUAAGAAAAGAAGACAAGAUGGUAAGAGGAC
This 350-nucleotide long non-coding RNA is filed under the name Brassica napus (rape). Its description in RNAcentral is "long non-coding RNA (BNAP_LNC007559)". Lineage: Eukaryota; Viridiplantae; Streptophyta; Magnoliopsida; Brassicales; Brassicaceae. The record is from RNAcentral.